This 251-nucleotide ribosomal RNA is filed under the name uncultured bacterium. Its description in RNAcentral is "partial 16S ribosomal RNA". It matches the Rfam family "Bacterial small subunit ribosomal RNA", at positions 524 to 776 of the family's 1533-position model. The record is from RNAcentral.
UACAGAGGGGGCAAGCGUUGUUCGGAAUUACUGGGCGUAAAGGGCGCGUAGGCGGCCUUCUAAGUCAGACGUGAAAUCCCUCGGCUCAACCGGGGAACUGCGUCUGAGACUGGAAGGCUUGAAUCUGGCAGAGGGGGUAGAAGUUCCACGUGUAGCAGUGAAAUGCGUAGAGAUGUGGAGGAACACCGAUGGCGAAGGCGGGUCUCUGGCCGAUACUGACGCUGAGGAGCGAAAGCCAGGGAGCAAACGGG